Molecule: ribosomal RNA, 301 nt
Filed under: uncultured bacterium
Lineage: Bacteria
Description: partial 16S ribosomal RNA
Rfam family: Bacterial small subunit ribosomal RNA
Source: RNAcentral
CAGUAGCCGCGGGAAAACGAAGGGGGCUAGCGUUGCUCGGAAUGACUGGGCGUAAAGGGCGCGUAGGCGGCUUGUACAGUCAGAUGUGAAAUUCCUGGGCUUAACCUGGGGGCUGCAUUUGAUACGUGCGGGCUAGAAUGUGAAAGAGGGUCGUGGAAUUCCCAGUGUAGAGGUGAAAUUCGUAGAUAUUCGCAAGAACACCAGUGGCGAAGGCGGCUCACUGGCCCGGAACUGGCGCUGAGACGCGAAAGCGUGGGGAGCAAACAGGAUUAGAGACCCGCGUAGUCCCUGUCUUUUAUAA